UCGAACGAACUCUUCGGAGUUAGUGGCGCACGGGUGCGUAACGCGUGGGAAUCUGCCCUUGGGUACGGAAUAACUCAGAGAAAUUUGUGCUAAUACCGUAUAAUGACUUCGGUCCAAAGAUUUAUCGCCCAAGGAUGAGCCCGCGUAAGAUUAGCUAGUUGGUGGGGUAAAGGCCUACCAAGGCUACGAUCUUUAGCUGGUCUGAGAGGAUGAUCAGCCACACUGGGACUGAGACACGGCCCAGACUCCUACGGGAGGCAGCAGUGGGGAAUAUUGGACAAUGGGCGAAAGCCUGAUCCAGCAAUGCCGCGUGAGUGAUGAAGGCCCUAGGGUUGUAAAGCUCUUUUACCCGGGAUGAUAAUGACAGUACCGGGAGAAUAAGCUCCG
Molecule: ribosomal RNA, 387 nt
Filed under: alpha proteobacterium BAL86
Lineage: Bacteria; Pseudomonadati; Pseudomonadota; Alphaproteobacteria
Description: bacterial SSU rRNA
Rfam family: Bacterial small subunit ribosomal RNA
Source: RNAcentral